RNAcentral lists this ribosomal RNA (468 nucleotides) under uncultured bacterium. Its description in RNAcentral is "partial 16S ribosomal RNA". It matches the Rfam family "Bacterial small subunit ribosomal RNA", at positions 28 to 507 of the family's 1533-position model. The record is from RNAcentral.
GACGAACGCUGGCGGCGUGCUUAACACAUGCAAGUCGAACGGAAAGGCCCUACGUUUGAGGCGUGCUCGAGAGGCGAACGGGUGAGUAACACGUGAGUAACCUCACCUUGACUUAGGGAUAACUACAUGAAACUAGGGCUAAAACCGGAUAGGAGCUCCUGCUGCAUGGUGGGGGAUGGUAAGUUUGGGCGGUUGGGGCUGGACUCGCGGCUUAUCAGCUUGUUGGGGGGGUAGUGGAUUACCAAGGCUUUGACGGGUAGCCGACCUGAGAGGGUGACCGGCCACAAUGGGACUGAGAUACGGCGCAGACUCCUACGGGAGGCAGCAGUGGGGAAUAUUGCACAAUGGGCGGAAGCCUGAUGCAGCGACGCAGCGUGCGGGAUGACGGCCUUCGGGUUGUAAACCUCUUUCGCCUGUGACGAAGCGUGAGUGACGGUAAUGGGUAAAGAAGCACCGGCUAACUACGUG